This 498-nucleotide ribosomal RNA is filed under the name uncultured bacterium. RNAcentral's name for it is "partial 16S ribosomal RNA". It matches the Rfam family "Bacterial small subunit ribosomal RNA", at positions 30 to 523 of the family's 1533-position model. The record is from RNAcentral.
AUUGAACGCUGGCGGCAUGCCUUACACAUGCAAGUCGAACGGUAACAGGUCUUCGGAUGCUGACGAGUGGCGAACGGGUGAGUAAUACAUCGGAACGUGCCCGAUCGUGGGGGAUAACGAAGCGAAAGCUUUGCUAAUACCGCAUAAGAUCUACGGAUGAAAGCAGGGGACCGCAAGGCCUUGCGCGAACGGAGCGGCCGAUGGCAGAUUAGGUAGUUGGUGGGAUAAAAGAUUACCAAGCCGACGAUCUGUAGCUGGUCUGAGAGGACGACAAGGCACACUGGGACUGAGACACGGACCAGACUCCUACGGGAGGCAGCAGUGGGGAAUUUUGGACAAUGGGCGAAGGCCUGAUCCAGCCAUGACGCGUGCAGGAUGAAGGCCUUCGGGUUGUAAACUGCUUUUGUACGGAACGAAAAGACUCUUUCUAAUAAAGAGGGUCCAUGACGGUACCGUAAGAAUAAGCACCGGCUAACUACGUGCCAGCCGCCGCCGUAA